GAAAUGCUUACAAGGUAUUGCACUGACUCCUAAGAUUUUUAUAAUUAUGCUUACAUUAUUCAUAAAAAAUAAUAAUAAUUUAUUAUGAAGAAUACUUUGCAGUUCGAAGCUCCAAAAAGAACAAAACAACACAUGGCGAAUCAUCAAACACCAAUACUGAUGUGAUGAUGAUUUCCAAGAUGUACCACCGAUGCUUACCCAAGGUAAACCAAAAGACAGAACUGCUACACCAAAAAAACACAAAAGAAGAGAGUUAAAUGCAGUAGCAACAAGAAAAGAAAUCAAAUGCAAAGCAUAGCGGAUAACAACAAUGACGAGGAAGACAACUAUCCACAGCUAAACAUAAGAAGCACACUACAAGAGGCUACGUGAUCUCAACGAUGCCCAACUUAGAGCUGUUAAUGCUAUUGGAUUUGGCAAAAUCUUGAAAUU
Long non-coding RNA from Salvia miltiorrhiza (redroot sage), 432 nucleotides. RefSeq lists it as uncharacterized. NCBI's taxonomy places the organism in Eukaryota, Viridiplantae, Streptophyta, Magnoliopsida, Lamiales, Lamiaceae. The transcript is spliced from 3 exons. The record is from RefSeq and is a predicted model, not a curated record.